UAACGAAUAUUGGGCAAUGGGCGAAAGCCUGACCCAGCAAUGCCGCGUGCAGGACGAAGUCCUUCGGGAUGUAAACUGCUGUCAGGGGUCCGCAAGCGAAGGGGUCCAACAGGCCCUGGAGUUGAGCAGCCCCAGAGGAAGCCUCGACUAACUCUGUGCCAGCAGUCGCGGUAAGCCGGAGGAGGCAAGCGUUGUUCGGAAUCAGUGGGCUUAAAGCGCGUGUAGGCGGCUUAGAAAGUGUGGUGUGAAAGCCCGGGGCUUAACCGCGGAAGGGCACGGGAAACUAAUUGGCUUGAGGUCGGUAGAGGUGGCGGGAACUCUAGGUGGAGCGGUGAAAUGCGUAGAUAUUUAGAGGAACGCCAGAGGCGAAAGCGGGGCACUGGGCCGAUUCUGACGCUGAGACGCGAAAGCGUGGGGAGCAAACA
Molecule: ribosomal RNA, 425 nt
Filed under: uncultured prokaryote
Description: bacterial SSU rRNA
Rfam family: Bacterial small subunit ribosomal RNA
Source: RNAcentral